CCCUUAGAUGUUCUGGGCCGCACGCGCGCUACACUGACAGAGCCAGCGAGUUUUUUUCCUUGGCCGGAAGGUCUGGGUAAUCUUGUGAAACUCUGUCGUGCUGGGGAUAGAGCAUUGCAAUUAUUGCUCUUCAACGAGGAAUUCCUAGUAAGCGUGAGUCAUCAGCUCGCGUUGAUUACGUCCCUGCCCUUUGUACACACCGCCCGUCGCUACUACCGAUUGAAUGGCUUAGUGAGGUCUUGGGAUUGGCUUCGGAGAGCCGGCAACGGCACCCUGUCGCUGAGAACUUGAUCAAACUUGGUCAUUUAGAGGAAGUAAAAGUCGUAACA
Molecule: ribosomal RNA, 329 nt
Filed under: uncultured eukaryote
Lineage: Eukaryota
Description: partial 18S ribosomal RNA
Rfam family: Eukaryotic small subunit ribosomal RNA
Source: RNAcentral